AUGGCUCAGAUUGAACGCUGGCGGCAUGCUUACACAUGCAAGUCGAACGGUAACGGGCCUUCGGGUGCCGACGAGUGGCGAACGGGUGAGUAAUGCAUCGGAACGUACCUUUCAGUGGGGGAUAACGUAGCGAAAGUUACGCUAAUACCGCAUAUUCUGUGAGCAGGAAAGCAGGGGAUCGCAAGACCUUGCGCUGAUUGAGCGGCCGAUGUCAGAUUAGCUAGUUGGUGAGGUAAAGGCUCACCAAGGCGACGAUCUGUAGCGGGUCUGAGAGGAUGAUCCGCCACACUGGAACUGAGACACGGUCCAGACUCCUACGGGAGGCAGCAGUGGGGAAUUUUGGACAAUGGGGGCAACCCUGAUCCAGCCAUGCCGCGUGAGUGAAGAAGGCCUUCGGGUUGUAAAGCUCUUUCGGCCGGGAAGAAAUCGCAUGGGUUAAUACCCUGUGCGGAUGACGGUACCGGCAUUAGAAGCACCGGCUAACUACGUG
This 490-nucleotide ribosomal RNA is filed under the name uncultured bacterium. Its description in RNAcentral is "bacterial SSU rRNA". It matches the Rfam family "Bacterial small subunit ribosomal RNA", at positions 19 to 507 of the family's 1533-position model. The record is from RNAcentral.